Molecule: ribosomal RNA, 478 nt
Filed under: Streptococcus sp. oral taxon C14
Lineage: Bacteria; Bacillati; Bacillota; Bacilli; Lactobacillales; Streptococcaceae
Description: bacterial SSU rRNA
Rfam family: Bacterial small subunit ribosomal RNA
Source: RNAcentral
AUUGAACGCUGGCGGCAGGCUUAACACAUGCAAGUCGAACGGUAACAUAAAGAAGCUUGCUUCUUUGAUGACGAGUGGCGGACGGGUGAGUAAUGCUUGGGAAUCUAGCUUAUGGAGGGGGAUAACUACGGGAAACUGUAGCUAAUACCGCGUAAUAUCGAAAGAUUAAAGUGUGGGACCUUCGGGCCACAUGCCAUAGGAUGAGCCCAAGUGGGAUUAGGUAGUUGGUGAGGUAAAGGCUCACCAAGCCGACGAUCUCUAGCUGGUCUGAGAGGAUGACCAGCCACACUGGGACUGAGACACGGCCCAGACUCCUACGGGAGGCAGCAGUGGGGAAUAUUGCGCAAUGGGGGCAACCCUGACGCAGCCAUGCCGCGUGAAUGAAGAAGGCCUUCGGGUUGUAAAGUUCUUUCGGUAGCGAGGAAGGCACUUAGUUUAAUAGACUAGGUGAUUGACGUUAACUACAGAAGAAGCACGG